RNAcentral lists this ribosomal RNA (95 nucleotides) under Candidatus Desulfatibia vada. Its description in RNAcentral is "partial 16S ribosomal RNA". It matches the Rfam family "Bacterial small subunit ribosomal RNA", at positions 1 to 91 of the family's 1533-position model. Lineage: Bacteria; Pseudomonadati; Thermodesulfobacteriota; Desulfobacteria; Desulfobacterales. The record is from RNAcentral.
UUUAAUUGGAGAGUUUGAUCCUGGCUCAGAAUGAACGCUGGCGGCGUGCUUAACACAUGCAAGUCGCACGAGAACUCUUUAGCUUGCUAAAGAUA